GCCAGAGACCGAUAGCGCACAAGUAGAGUGAUCGAAAGAUGAAAAGCACUUUGGAAAGAGAGUCAAACAGUACGUGAAAUUGUUGAAAGGGAAGCGCUUGCAACCAGACUUGCCCGCGGGUGAUCAGCCGGUAUUCUUACCGGUGCACUCGCCCGUGGUCAGGCCAGCAUCGGUUUGGGCGGCUGGAUAAAGUCCACCGGAACGUAGCUCCUCUCGGGGAGUGUUAUAGCCGGAGGUGCAAUGCAGCCCGCCCGGACCGAGGACCGCGCUUCGGCUAGGAUGCUGGCGUAAUGGUUGUAAGCGACCCGUCUUGAAACACGGACCAAGGAGUCUAACAUCUAUGCGAGUGUUUGGGUGUCAAACCCAUGCGCGUAAUGAAAGUGAACGGAGGUGGGAACCCUCCAGGGUGCACCAUCGACCGAUCCUGAUGUCUUCGGAUGGAUUUGAGUAAGAGCAUAGCUGUUGGGACCCGAAAGAUGGUGAACUAUGCCUGAAUAGGGUGAAGCCAGAGGAAACUCUGGUGGAGGCUCGCAGCGGUUCUGACGUGCAAAUCGAUCGUCAAAUUUGGGUAUAGGGGCGAAAGACUAAUCGAACCAUCUGCGACUAGAUGGCACACGGGGCAUGGCGCCCGAGUAGUCCCCGCGCCGGCGGGGGCGACAUCGUCGGUCUCUCGGGGACGCCUCCAGGCCACCCGCAGUGAGCUUCAGGGCUCAUUCACAGACUAGGUGACGGUGGCCGUGCCCGAAGCGCGGUUAGGAUAUAG
Molecule: ribosomal RNA, 763 nt
Filed under: Polysporina sp.
Lineage: Eukaryota; Fungi; Ascomycota; Lecanoromycetes; Acarosporales; Acarosporaceae
Description: partial large subunit ribosomal RNA
Rfam family: Eukaryotic large subunit ribosomal RNA
Source: RNAcentral